Molecule: ribosomal RNA, 183 nt
Filed under: Acinetobacter sp. 51m
Lineage: Bacteria; Pseudomonadati; Pseudomonadota; Gammaproteobacteria; Moraxellales; Moraxellaceae
Description: partial 23S ribosomal RNA
Rfam family: Bacterial large subunit ribosomal RNA
Source: RNAcentral
GUUGUAUAGUCAAGUAAUUAAGUGCAUGUGGUGGAUGCUUGGCAGUCAGAGGCGAUGAAAGACGUGAUAGCCUGCGAAAAGCUCCGGGGAGGCGGCAAAUAUCCUGUGAUCCGGAGAUGUCUGAAUGGGGAAACCCACUUACCAUAAGGUAGGUAUUGCAACAUGAAUACAUAGUGUUGCAAG